RNAcentral lists this ribosomal RNA (745 nucleotides) under uncultured Parvimonas sp. RNAcentral describes it as "bacterial SSU rRNA". It matches the Rfam family "Bacterial small subunit ribosomal RNA", at positions 28 to 776 of the family's 1533-position model. The record is from RNAcentral. Lineage: Bacteria; Bacillati; Bacillota; Tissierellia; Tissierellales; Peptoniphilaceae.
GACGAACGCGGCGGCGUGCUUAACACAUGCAAGUCGAACGUGAUUUUUGUGGAAAUUCUUUCGGGAAUGGAAAUGAAAUGAAAGUGGCGAACGGGUGAGUAACACGUGAGCAACCUACCUUACACAGGGGGAUAGCCGUUGGAAACGACGAUUAAUACCGCAUGAGACCACAGAAUCGCAUGAUAUAGGGGUCAAAGAUUUAUCGGUGUAAGAAGGGCUCGCGUCUGAUUAGCUAGUUGGAAGGGUAAAGGCCUACCAAGGCGACGAUCAGUAGCCGGUCUGAGAGGAUGAACGGCCACAUUGGAACUGAGACACGGUCCAAACUCCUACGGGAGGCAGCAGUGGGGAAUAUUGCACAAUGGGGGGAACCCUGAUGCAGCGACGCCGCGUGAGCGAAGAAGGUUUUCGAAUCGUAAAGCUCUGUCCUAUGAGAAGAUAAUGACGGUAUCAUAGGAGGAAGCCCCGGCUAAAUACGUGCCAGCAGCCGCGGUAAUACGUAUGGGGCGAGCGUUGUCCGGAAUUAUUGGGCGUAAAGGGUACGUAGGCGGUUUUUUAAGUCAGGUGUGAAAGCGUGAGGCUUAACCUCAUUAAGCACUUGAAACUGGAAGACUUGAGUGAAGGAGAGGAAAGUGGAAUUCCUAGUGUAGCGGUGAAAUGCGUAGAUAUUAGGAGGAAUACCGGUGGCGAAGGCGACUUUCUGGACUUUUACUGACGCUCAGGUACGAAAGCGUGGGGAGCAAACAGG